AUUCAGAUGACGAGUCCCAAGUAGGAUGAAAUACGCGUCCUGGAU
This 45-nucleotide non-coding RNA is filed under the name Schistosoma haematobium. Lineage: Eukaryota; Metazoa; Platyhelminthes; Trematoda; Strigeidida; Schistosomatidae. The record is from RNAcentral.